UACGUAGGGUGCUAGCGUUACUCGGAAUUACUGGGCGUAAAGCGUGCGCAGGCGGCGCGUUAAGUCAGGUGUGAAAGCCCCGAGCUUAACUUGGGAAUUGCGCUUGUGACUGGCGUGCUGGAGUGUGGCAGAGGGAAGUGGAAUUCCACGUGUAGCAGUGAAAUGCGUAGAGAUGUGGAGGAACACCGAUGGCGAAGGCAGCCUCCUGGGCCAGUACUGACGCUCAGGCACGAAAGCGUGGGGAGCAAACAGG
Molecule: ribosomal RNA, 253 nt
Filed under: uncultured bacterium
Lineage: Bacteria
Description: partial 16S ribosomal RNA
Rfam family: Bacterial small subunit ribosomal RNA
Source: RNAcentral